Molecule: long non-coding RNA, 4015 nt
Organism: Dromaius novaehollandiae (emu)
Lineage: Eukaryota; Metazoa; Chordata; Aves; Casuariiformes; Dromaiidae
Exons: 4
Source: RefSeq, a predicted model, not a curated record
GGGUAGCCCACCGAAGGGGGACAUCUCGAAGAGAGGGGGCUAGACCUAGCGAUCCAGUUGUUCGUUUUGGUCGUCGCCUGUGAGGCCAGCAUGCAAGAGUAAGAGGAAGCUAGGAGCAGUCUCAAAAAGGUAAUAGGCUUGAAAGGGAGACAGGCAAAUCGAGGGCUGUCGUUCCUCCACGUAGUUAAAGACCGAGAGAGUUGUCGGUUAAGCGCAUGCAUACGAGGGUUUGCGAACAGUAACAAUAACACUGAAGCGGAAUAAAAAUAAGGUUUCGUGGAAGGUGGCGUUAGGAAGGUAUUAGGCGACGUGCCCGCCUGCCUAAUAACCUAGCCCUAAUUGCUGUGUGUAACGUUUCCAGACCGUUUACCCUGCAACGUAUGGUGCAAAGUGCCGUAUUAAGACCUUUCCCUUAAGGAAAAGAAGAAGAAAAAAAGAAAAAAAAGGGGGAAAAAGAGAACAGGGUAAAGAGAAAAAGAUCGUGCAUAAACCUAAGCGUUUCACUGGAAGUAAAAUGCGAGUUUAUCGCUUCCUUACAGAGAUGGAACCAAGGACAGCAAAUGCUGACGAGGAGAAGAGACGGACGAGCGUUUGCUUGUGGUUAAUACCAAAGGGACGGGAUGAAACAAGGAAGCCAGAAUGCAGCGGCCCCUCGAUAUUGCCAGGAACUGCUACAGGAGGAGGCGUUCUGGCACGGGUAACUAGGGUAAGUAUCGCUAAUGACCGUUAGCAGUUAUUUCGGCCUCCCCGAGGCAGCGCUGAGGACUGAGUAACCCGUUCCUACCCUGUGGCUGCUGUUGCCUGUAUCUGCCUUAGCUUUGCUUUGGCUGUUUCUAUUUUGCGUUGUUACUGCACGCGCGUAUGUGGAAAGGGAAAGACAGAACGAAUGCUCUCUUAGAUUAAUGGCCACGGCUGAGGUUGAAGAGAGUGAAAAACGUGAGCAAGCUGAAGUAAUAGAAUCCAAGGGAGCCAAGUGAAAGCUGUCUUCCUCUGCCAGAAAAAGAGAAAGCCCGUUCCUCCUGGCAAGGAAGGAGCGCCAUUAAUAGCGAUCCGAAUAAUAGAUCGCCAGCGUAUAACGGAAGGUCUGUAUGCAUUACGAGCAGUGCUCUGCGUACAUGUGUCUCCAUGUGUGUGACUUUACGUGCCUGUGAAGCGUCAUACUUCACGAGCUGCGAGACAGCAAAUUAUUAUCUUGGGGGAGUGGUGGUCAAGUGACCAGAGCUACUGAAGAGGAAGGGAGCGAGAGAAGGGUCUGAAGUGUAAAACUGAGAGAUCGAUUUCAGGAAGGCUCAAUCAGCGCAAGCCCCGGGUUAGUUACCUGGCAAUGGUAUUUGGGGAGACGGGAUGACAGUAGAUAGGUUGAAGCCUCAUGGAAUUAAGGCUCCUUCUCACCGGUUCCCGCUUAGAGCAAUUGUAGGAGGAUUUAGUUUCCUCCAGCAGCAUUAAGGUGGCUUUGCCGGUGUCAGCAGACCGCGGUGGAAAGUACUGGGAGGGAGUCGGGAAGGGAGCUGGGACGAGGAACGUGACUCUGCUUUCACUGAACUGGAAGAAGUGGCUAUAAAACCUCCUGCCCUCAAAUUCCCAGGACAAGGAAAGCCUUUUUCGGUAAUGCUUUCCACAUCUGCUGACUGCGUGGGAGCAGCACCGCUAGAAAACGGCAGUAAAGGAAAGCGGGUGCCGGUCGCCUCACCUUUACGUCCCCUUUGGGGGUGGAACAAAAAGUCUCUGGCUGUGAGAAAGACUGUUCAGCAGCGAUGUGGGCUGUAACCGUCUUUGAGACUUUUAGCUUUGAUCGCGCAGGGGCCAUCCAAUCUAUUCAGUUCCCUCUAAAGUAAUCACGUCAGGGAAAUGAAGAGACAGCGGAGUAUCAUCUAUCCGAGUGGCGCAGUGGGCGCUGAUCUUAACGAGCGGGGGCAGGGGGGCAGUUGCUGUGCAAGUGUUACAAGCAGUGGCUCUUCUUGUGCGCGUCUGAAUUGACUGAGGGGCAGAGCACGGUUGCGCCAAAAAUGCGGACGCAGGAGGUUUCCGAGAGGUUGAUCUCUAGCGGCUACUUAGUCUGACUUCCCUUUUGCGGCAAGCCCGACUGUCUUCAUAGCUCUCAGAACAGGGGUUAGGGGAAGCGGUACUUGUGGCUUGCGUUUUCUUGUUUACCUUGCUUGAGUGUGUAUAUUGGAUCCGCUUUUGUGCUUAUAAACAACUUUGGAUUCUUAUGAUUUUCUGCAGAGCUUUGAUCUUUUUCUUUUUUUCUUUUUCUUCUUGGUUUGUUUUUUUUUUUUUUGCUUUGCUCCCUCCCUGAUGGAUUUUACUAUGCCUCCGUCAACGAGCCCUGGCUGGCAAAGUUGCUGUGUCCCAGCGGAGACUCUUAGGCGAGAUGGAGGAGUUCAGAUCCGCAGCCUGCCAGAAGAACGUCGCCCAGGAGGGGUUGCUAGCCUCGAGCUAUAGGCGCUGGCGUUCAGGACCUCGGGGAACGACUGUGUGCUGCCGUGAAGAACUACAGGCUACCACCGCUCUCGGACCUUUGUAAGUUAUCACGCGUCGAGAGCUUCCAGGAGAAUUCAAAUGCCAGCAGAAAGGUUCUCCGCCCGGUCCCGACGAGGAGGCUUCGGCCACAGGAAGGUCGUCAGCGUCCUUACCGGACUCGCGGGAUGCUGUUCUGAGGGCCAGCAACUCGAAGGGAUGCAGCUUGGCCCUUUUUGUUGACUUUGGUGAUGCUGUUUUGAGGAAGCAUGUGCCGAAGCCCAGUUGGGCAGUCGAAGGAGCCUUGUCACAGCUGGGAGCUCUGCGGAGAUGCGCGGCUGGCCAUGGAGAGUGAGCUCUGACUUGCAGCGUGGACACAGCUAAGUCCUGGGCUGCAUCAUAUGUGAGCAGUGCUGGGAGGUGCGAGGUGAUUGUUCCCUAGGUGGUCACUGGUGUCACUGGCUGUGGAUGUUUGCCCAUGGAGCUGAGAGGACCAAAAAUAUUAAUUGUCUGACCCGGAGAUGAAUUAGUGCUUGCAGUGCUUCAGGUAGGUUCAGUGCAAGUGCAGCCUAGUGCAGUCCUGUGGAGUGAUUCUUGCACAUGCUCACAUUUGAAUGGUGGCUAAAACCAAGCCUCUAAACAGCAGCUGUAACGUGAUUCUGGUGCAUGUCUUCCCGUUCUGCUGUGCUUCUAGAGGAAGGGAAAACUUCUUAAGCUGUGGGCAAAACUCCUUGCCUUCUCUUUACUGUUUUCAUGCGUAUGGGUGCUUUGGUGUUUGUUGCUUAAAGCUGAGGGUUUGGAAUUUUUCACUUAAGGUUUAUUGUUUAGUUUGUUGUUGAGGGUCUCUCACUCCGGAGUUACAGUUUAUUCCUUUCUUUUGUGGGGCUCAGUCUUUAUCAGUCAGGGUUUACAGUUUGCUCGUUUAGUGAUCAGGGCGCAGAAUUUAAAAUCCAACCUUAGCCAUAAAUUUUAAAGUCUCGGCAACUAUUAGGGUUCCAAGACCUGCAGUUAGUGUUCAGGGCUUAUGACUUACUGAUAAAGGAAAAGGGCUAAAUCCUUAGAUAAACUGUAAGCCCUGAAGCCUAAGCAGCAGGCUGCAAACCCUUCUUUGGGCUUUGUAACCUUCCCCUGUACCCAGCGUUCAGCUCUGCACACCGACCUGCGCUCUGGAUUUGAUAUGGCGCAGGCCCAUCACACGGAGACUGGCAAUGUGACGGGUGAGCUGAGAGCUGUGGAAGUGUCUUGCAGGGCUCUAGCCUGGGGUAGGGCAGAAGUGCAGACAGGCAAGAUCAGGCAUUUUCCUCUCAUCUCUGAGCUGAAUCCUAUCCCUGAAGGAAAAAGCAGAGGAGUAGGCUGCCAGCUACUCGGACACCUGCCACAUCAAGGGCAGCAGCAGGAGAUGACCCUUCCCUGAUGGAUGGAUGGACGCUGGUGUAGUGAUGACUCUUCAGGCAUCACAGGUAAGGGGAAGCAUGCUGACACUGAGCUCCAUGGCAGACUUGCUUCCAGCUAUUGUUUCUGCGCAGUAAAACAAUAAACAGUUGCUUUAUUCUUUGCA